GCUAAGGAUUUACUCGAAUCCACCUAAAUAUAUUUAUAUGAUAUUAU
Gossypium hirsutum (cotton) is the source of this 47-nucleotide non-coding RNA. NCBI's taxonomy places the organism in Eukaryota, Viridiplantae, Streptophyta, Magnoliopsida, Malvales, Malvaceae. The record is from Rfam.